Molecule: ribosomal RNA, 537 nt
Filed under: uncultured bacterium
Lineage: Bacteria
Description: partial 16S ribosomal RNA
Rfam family: Bacterial small subunit ribosomal RNA
Source: RNAcentral
UGGGGAAUAUUGCACAAUGGGCGCAAGCCUGAUGCAGCAACGCCGCGUGAGGGACGACGGCCUUCGGGUUGUAAACCUCUUUUAGUAGGGAAGAAGCGAAAGUGACGGUACCUGCAGAAAAAGCACCGGCUAACUACGUGCCAGCAGCCGCGGUAAUACGUAGGGUGCGAGCGUUGUCCGGAAUUAUUGGGCGUAAAGAGCUCGUAGGCGGUCUGUCGCGUCUGCUGCGAAAACCCGAGGCUCAACCUCGGGCCUGCAGUGGGUACGGGCAGACUAGAGUGCGGUAGGGGAGAAUGGAAUUCCUGGUGUAGCGGUGGAAUGCGCAGAUAUCAGGAGGAACACCGAUGGCGAAGGCAGUUCUCUGGGCCGUAACUGACGCUGAGGAGCGAAAGCGUGGGGAGCGAACAGGAUUAGAUACCCUGGUAGUCCACGCCGUAAACGUUGGGCGCUAGAUGUGGGGCACCAUUCCACGGUUUCCGUGUCGCAGCUAACGCAUUAAGCGCCCCGCCUGGGGAGUACGGCCGCAAGGCUAAAACU